GGGAGUGUAGCUUAGUGGCAAAGCGGAACGGCAAACACCAUCUCACGUGGGUUCGAUUCCCGCCGCUCCCG
This 71-nucleotide transfer RNA is filed under the name Acanthamoeba castellanii str. Neff. It matches the Rfam family "tRNA". From Rfam's summary of the family: Transfer RNA (tRNA) molecules are approximately 80 nucleotides in length. Their secondary structure includes four short double-helical elements and three loops (D, anti-codon, and T loops). The record is from Rfam by way of RNAcentral. Lineage: Eukaryota; Discosea; Longamoebia; Acanthamoebidae.